UAGAAGGUAACCAAAAUUAAAUAUUUUUCUAUAAACAUUAAAAGUAUCUAUAGAAUAUAAUUUUUUUAAAUGGUAUUUAUUUAAAAUAAAUAAGGUGUUAACCUUUGCUAUAGGAGGUUUUUCCUAAAUUGAACCCACGAGAUAGCCACAAUUCUCUGAAAAGCCCAAGAGAAUAACAAGAUCACAGACUACAUAAAUAAACAUCGGACCCCCAGACUGCAUCUACACAGAUUACUGGUAGUUAACUCGAGGGCAAGAAUGACCACAAGGAUAGUGGUUACAUUCAUAGUUAACCUAUAACUUGGGAAUACAAUAAAACAUUCACUCCAGGAUCCUAUACUGCUCCAUCCCAGAAAGGAAAGCAGCAUGUGCAAUAAAUGAAAGGCCAAUCUACAUCUGAUAUACAUUACAGUAGUAAAAGCAAAAACUGAAAGAUUGCUUAGGCCACAGCAUUAGGGAGACUAUUAUUGUGAGCUUCAUGCAGUAUACUGAGGUCAUCCAAGUUGACACAACCUUGUAUCCCAGUAGUAAAAGCAAAAACCGAAAAAGAUUGCUUAGGCCACAGCACUAUUAUUGUGAGCUUCAUGCUGUAUACUGAGGUCAUCCAAGUUGACACAACCUUGUAUCCGUAAUCCAUGUUCAUUUG
RNAcentral lists this long non-coding RNA (646 nucleotides) under Nicotiana benthamiana. RNAcentral's name for it is "long non-coding RNA (NBEN_LNC023122)". The record is from RNAcentral. Lineage: Eukaryota; Viridiplantae; Streptophyta; Magnoliopsida; Solanales; Solanaceae.